Molecule: small RNA, 77 nt
Filed under: Xanthomonas sp. 3793
Lineage: Bacteria; Pseudomonadati; Pseudomonadota; Gammaproteobacteria; Lysobacterales; Lysobacteraceae
Description: sRNA sX9
Rfam family: Xanthomonas sRNA sX9
Source: RNAcentral
AUGGGCCACGCGUACACGCCGGUUCUGAGCGCGCCGUCCACACCCACCUGACGACCGCGCGCGACGUUUUGUCAGCC